This 253-nucleotide ribosomal RNA is filed under the name uncultured bacterium. RNAcentral describes it as "partial 16S ribosomal RNA". It matches the Rfam family "Bacterial small subunit ribosomal RNA", at positions 524 to 776 of the family's 1533-position model. The record is from RNAcentral.
UACGAAGGGGGCUAGCGUUGCUCGGAAUCACUGGGCGUAAAGCGCACGUAGGCGGAUUGUUAAGUCAGGGGCGAAAUCCUGGAGCUCAACUCCAGAACUGCCUUUGAUACUGGCGAUCUCGAGUCCGGGAGAGGUGAGUGGAACUCCGAGUGUAGAGGUGAAAUUCGUAGAUAUUCGGAAGAACACCAGUGGCGAAGGCGGCUCACUGGCCCGGUACUGACGCUGAUGUGCGAAAGCGUGGGGAGCAAACAGG